RNAcentral lists this ribosomal RNA (204 nucleotides) under uncultured bacterium. Its description in RNAcentral is "partial 16S ribosomal RNA". It matches the Rfam family "Bacterial small subunit ribosomal RNA", at positions 524 to 722 of the family's 1533-position model. The record is from RNAcentral.
UACGGAGGGUGCAAGCGUUAUCCGGAUUCACUGGGUUUAAAGGGAGCGUAGGUGGGCUUGUAAGUCAGUGGAUGAAAUCUCCGUGCUUAACACGGAAACUGCCAUUGAUACUAUAGGUCUUGAAUGUUCUGGAGGUUAGCGGAAUAUGAUCAUGUAGCGGUGAAAUGCUUAGAUAUGAACAUAGAAACACCAAUUGCGAAAGGC